Molecule: ribosomal RNA, 273 nt
Filed under: uncultured bacterium
Lineage: Bacteria
Description: partial 16S ribosomal RNA
Rfam family: Bacterial small subunit ribosomal RNA
Source: RNAcentral
CUGGAGAUGGCGACCGGCGCACGGGUGAGUAACACGUAUCCAACCUGCCGAUAACUCGGGGGAUAGCCUUUCGAAAGAAAGAUUAAUACCCGAUGGCAUAAUAGAACCGCAUGGUUUGAUUAUUAAAGAAUUUCGGUUAUCGAUGGGGAUGCGUUCCAUUAGGCAGUUGGUGGGGUAACGGCCCACCAAACCUUCGAUGGAUAGGGGUUCUGAGAGGAAGGUCCCCCACAUUGGAACUGAGACACGGUCCAAACUCCUACGGGAGGCAGCAUG